CCCCUUUUGUCCUGAAAAACAAUAUAUAAUUUGUAUGGGAACAGUAAAUGAGAGAGCGGAAAAUUCCAGCCAAACACAAACACCACAAAAGUGUAAAAAUAUGCCUGGUCGCAAAUGUACAACAUCGCAAAAACAGUCCAGUCCUUAAGGGGUUAAAUAAGAUAGUGUAUCUUAUGUAGGAAAAUUAAAAUUCGGCUAAUGUAAAAUCUGGUAGAUUUAUUCUUAUUGGAUGGUUCCAGGAAUGGUUAAUGAUCUGAUAUGAACAUUACUUUAACAGUAAAAAUUACAACAUAAUUGGAUAUAUAUUGCCUAUGAGGAUUGUAGCCAGUGUGAUUUAACUAACACAAAUCAGUAAUAGGAGCAAACCCAGUGAACCACGCAUGGACAGCCAUUUCAUUGUUAAUGCAACUCAUCAGAAUGAGGUUGGUUACUGGCUUGCUAUGCCAUGCCUCCACAGCAAGCCAGUAACCAACCUCAUGCUGAUGAGUUGCAUUAGCCAAGCCUCCAUAGCCUCCAUUAACAAUGAAACAGUUGUCCAUGAGUGGUUCAUUGGCUUUGCUCCUCUUCCGGAGUUGUGUUUCAAAGCCGUUGUAUACAGCAGACACAUACUCCAAGGAAUCCAUGUAUAAAGUGCAAUGAUGAAGCAAAAAUGUGGUUCUUUGUUGAGCUAAUUUGCAUACGCCUACCCAGAAUCCCUAACAGUAGUGAGAGCACUGUUAAGGGUGAGAUUUCUGUGGGAAAAGCAGGUCUUAUGGCUUGACUGGUGUGUGUAUUUGUGUUUAGCAAUGUAUUAACUAUCCACUUACGUCAGUGUGUGUGUGUGUGUAUAUAUAUAUAU
Molecule: non-coding RNA, 838 nt
Organism: Pelobates cultripes (western spadefoot toad)
Lineage: Eukaryota; Metazoa; Chordata; Amphibia; Anura; Pelobatidae
Source: the annotation of a GenBank genome assembly